GAACAUGUGGCUUAUUCGACGCAACGCGAAGAACCUUACCAAGGCUUGACAUAUACCGGAAAGCAUCAAAGAUGGUGCCCCCCUUGUGGUCGGUAUACAGGUGGUGCAUGGCUGUCGUCAGCUCGUGUCGUGAGAUGUUGGGUUAAGUCCCGCAACGAGCGCAACCCUUGUUCUGUGUUGCCAGCAUGCCCUUCGGGGUGAUGGGGACUCACAGGAGACUGCCGGGGUCAACUCG
RNAcentral lists this ribosomal RNA (235 nucleotides) under uncultured bacterium. Its description in RNAcentral is "partial 16S ribosomal RNA". It matches the Rfam family "Bacterial small subunit ribosomal RNA", at positions 935 to 1165 of the family's 1533-position model. The record is from RNAcentral.